GCGGGGCCGCCAGGUGACAGCUAAUGGCGGCGGCCGCCUGAGGCAGGCAGGCGGGCGGGCGGUAGAGCGGGCGGCAGGAGGCAAGCAGCGAAACCUUCCCGGCCGCCGCUCCCGUCCCGACGGCGGCUUCCCCAAGGCGGCAGGACUCGGCGCGCCAUGGACAGGCCGGCGGCGGCGGCGGCGGGCUGCGAGGGCGGCGGGGGCCCGAACCCGGGGCCGGCGGGCGGCAGGAGGCCUCCUCGGGCCGCGGGGGGCGCCACCGCCGGCUCCCGGCAGCCCAGCGUGGAGACCCUGGACAGUCCCACAGGAUCACAUGUUGAAUGGUGUAAACAGCUUAUAGCUGCUACAAUUUCUAGUCAGAUUUCAGGUUCAGUGACAUCAGAAAAUGUGUCCAGAGAUUACAAGGUUUUCAGGAGGCCUGAUAUAAGGAACAUUCAUAAAGCAAGACAAAGAUUGGAGAUUCAGGAAGAACACAAUGGCUACCCUUCUGAAGCUGAAGCUGAUCAGGCUCUAAGGGAUGGAAAUAAGCUGGCACAGAUGGAAGAGGCUCCACUUUUCCCAGGAGAAUCAAUUAAAGCCAUUGUGAAAGAUGUCAUGUAUAUCUGCCCAUUUAUGGGAGCAGUGAGUGGAACCCUGACAGUGACGGACUUUAAGCUGUACUUCAAAAAUGUCGAGAGGGACCCGCAUUUUAUCCUUGAUGUUCCCCUUGGAGUGAUCAGCAGAGUUGAGAAGAUUGGAGCACAGAGCCAUGGAGACAAUUCCUGUGGUAUAGAGAUAGUGUGCAAGGAUAUGAGGAACUUGCGGCUUGCUUAUAAACAGGAAGAACAGAGUAAACUAGGGAUAUUUGAAAACCUCAACAAACAUGCAUUUCCUCUUUCUAACGGACAGGCACUAUUUGCAUUCAGCUAUAAAGAAAAAUUUCCAAUUAAUGGCUGGAAAGUUUAUGAUCCAGUAUCUGAAUAUAAGAGACAGGGCUUGCCAAAUGAGAGUUGGAAAAUAUCCAAAAUAAACAGUAAUUAUGAGUUCUGUGACACCUACCCUGCCAUCAUUGUUGUGCCAACUAGUGUAAAAGAUGAUGACCUUUCAAAAGUGGCAGCUUUUCGAGCAAAAGGCAGAGUCCCUGUGUUGUCAUGGAUUCAUCCGGAAAGUCAAGCAACGAUUACCCGUUGCAGCCAGCCACUUGUGGGUCCCAGUGAUAAGCGCUGCAAAGAGGAUGAAAAAUACUUGCAAACAAUAAUGGAUGCUAACGCACAGUCACACAAGCUUAUCAUCUUUGAUGCUCGACAGAACAGUGUCGCUGAUACCAACAAGACAAAGGGUGGAGGAUAUGAGAGUGAAAGUGCUUACCCAAAUGCAGAACUUGUGUUCUUGGAGAUCCACAACAUUCAUGUCAUGCGAGAGUCACUACGCAAAUUAAAAGAGAUUGUGUACCCUUCGAUCGAUGAGGCGCGGUGGCUCUCCAAUGUGGAUGGGACGCAUUGGCUGGAAUAUAUAAGGAUGCUGCUUGCUGGGGCAGUAAGAAUUGCUGAUAAAAUAGAAUCUGGGAAAACAUCUGUGGUGGUGCAUUGCAGCGACGGUUGGGACCGAACAGCCCAGCUCACAUCUCUGGCUAUGCUAAUGUUGGACAGUUACUACAGGACCAUUAAAGGAUUUGAAACUCUCGUAGAAAAGGAGUGGAUAAGCUUUGGACACAGGUUUGCACUGCGAGUGGGCCAUGGUAAUGACAACCAUGCGGAUGCUGACCGAUCUCCCAUAUUUCUGCAGUUUGUUGAUUGUGUUUGGCAAAUGACAAGGCAGUUUCCUUCAGCAUUCGAGUUUAAUGAGCUAUUCUUGAUUACAAUUUUGGAUCACCUUUAUAGCUGUCUUUUUGGGACCUUUUUGUGCAACUGUGAACAGCAGCGAUUCAAAGAGGCAUGGGGGGCUGGGACCCAGCGAGCCCGUGGCUCUCUCAGGAGUAGAUGAGUGCUAGACCCUGGACCUCCUGACUCCGAGUUCAUGUAGUCUCCGCUGCACCAACUCCAAAACCGUGGGAUUCUGCUUUUCAUCCUCUGUGGUGUUGGCCAGAUCAUACUUGAAGGCCUUGGAAAUGGAGUCUGCUGAGUAGCCAAAAAGCCCACUUUAGGAUGUAUAUACAAAGACGAUAUCUUUAUGGUCGUAUAUCAAUAGCCAGCUAGACGAGUUUUCUAAUCCCUUCUUUGUGAAUUAUGAAAACCACGUGUUAUAUCCUGUUGCUAGUCUGAGUCAUUUGGAAUUGUGGGUAAACUAUUAUGUACGAUGGAAUCCACGGAUGAGACCUCAGAUGCCCAUUCACCAGAAUCUCAAGGAGCUGCUGGCCGUCAGGGCGGAGCUGCAGAAGCGUGUGGAGGGCCUACAGCGGGAGGUGGCCACGCGCGCCGUCUCAUCCUCAUCUGAGCGGGGCUCCUCGCCCUCCCACUCCGCCACCUCCGUCCACACCUCGGUCUGAUGGGCGAGGCCAGCCUGCUGCUCCACUGUCUCCCGGUGGCUCAGAAAAGGGACCUGGCGAUCACUGUUAUGGCUGUAGCUUGUGAUCUCGUCUUUUAGGAUUAGGCCCAGGGACCAUUUGUGUGGCUAGGUGACAGCUCCCACUGUUGGCAAGUGCUUUUCGUUUUGUGAACAGCCCGUUACCCUCCUGUCAGCGGUUUCACAGGGGAGCCGUCUGUCACGUCCACCCUGUGAAGCAACUUCUGGCAUUCAGGCAGCUUGGGAGAAACUAAGUGAACGGAAUGCAGUACUGAGGUUCAAGAAAGCUGUACACCAUUUCUUUCCAACUUAAAUCCUUCAGUAACAACAAACACCACUCACUUCAAGAUGCAUUGCCAGCCCCGUGGCUUCCCUCAGCUCUUGGCCACAACUUGAAAACUGUUUUGAAUGAAGUACUUGGGGAGAAGACAGGCCACUGCCCUCUGUUCCACAGUUUUCUUCAUGCACGGGGUCCUCCUGUUAACAAUUACUGUUGUGUACAUAUAAGGUAUUUUUAGAGAAGAGAAACAAACAGGCCUUUAUUUUCCUAUGUCCUUUUUUACGUUUAGAAUAGUCACCCGAGGAGGGAUCAGCUCAACUGUACUGUGGGAGAAAUUCUUUUCCAACAAACCUCAUGCUCGUUUUUCUGUGGUGCAAUUUCAAGGGCAACGUGUUCUGUCCUCACCUCACUCUGGUACUCGCCUCUUGGGGCGGCUCAGCCCAUUCAUGGGGAUGGCACCAAGCGGCCAUGCUCAGUCUUCCAGCCCCGCUGAGGGUAAACCGAGGCCUCUGGCAGCUGUGCACAGGUGCUGGCCUCUGGCUCCUUCAAGGAGCACUGCCUGUCACUCGAUCCUGGGCUGUCUAGCCAUGUCUCCCACCCCCACUUUACCGCAGCCAGCUGCUGGGAUCAAAGCAAGUCUGUUCUUAUGUUAUUUGCCUGUAUGAAAUCAUUUCUCAUUUUAUCACAAUUCCUUCAACUCAGCUUACUCGCAUGGCUGCCUGUUCAUAUUUGAAAGCAGCCACCGUGCUGUGGCUUUGGUUUGGAAAAGCAUAGCACGCACUUCCCUUGGUUUUUCCUUCCCAGAGCCGACCGCAGCUGGUCAGCCCUCUCUUCCCGCUCCUGAACCUUUACUUACUGACUUCGAGCUCCGUGACUCCGUCGGUUCUCGCAGGAAUUCACUUACCAAUUGGUUCAAUCCACUUGAGCGCCAUAGCUCUGAGCUCCUCUGUGUGACAUGCCCCUCCCAUGUGCCGUGCCUGUUGCUGCAGCUGCCCCCCACCCCGCCACUGGCUGCAGGAAUUCAGCCUUUAGAGGCAGAGGCGGCUGCAGCGGCCCCUAAGGUCAAACCCCAGUGUGACUGCAUAGCAAUGUUAGCUGGUUGGUUUCAAACUACUGGAUUCCAGGCAAAGUCCUACAGAUUGACCUUAUUAUUUUUGAAAAUAUGUUAAGGGUUUUUCCGUAGAGAAUGGAUUUUUUUUUUAACUGGGAACCUCCUGAUUCUUAUGGAAAAUUAUCCUUCUAUAAGAUACCAGAGAGAUUUAUUCAAGGUAAUUUGAUAACCUAAAAUCAAUUCUCCAUUUUUUAUCACAUGUGGGAUUUGUUGCUAAAUCAGGUUCGACAUUAGCUUUUAUGUUCCUAACGUAUCUGAAUGCUUAUUUAUGAAUGGAUAUACUGGAUUAUUGAUAUACUGACUUUUUUUUUAAUGGGGACAUUUGCCAUUUUCUUCCCAGAAAUAUGUAAUCCCCUGGCUGACUAGGACUGUUAAACAUAGUGUGGACUGGAUGAUGCCUUCGACAAACCAGAGAAGCCAAGUUGGGGGGAGCUGGUGCCUGGAGUGGGCCCUGUGCACCUCACCUGGCGGAGGCUGGGGGGCUCUGUCAGCAGGACCCUAGAGACUCUCAUUCGAUUUUAAAGAAGCACAACGGGUCAUUUUCCUUUGUAUGUAUGUUCCUAGCGCAGAACUGUUUCUAAAACAACUUGAAGUAUAGUUUUGUUAUCUAAGCAAUUUUUGUUUUAAGUGUACUAGAAUGCGAAGCCGUUACGGUUCAGGUUUUUAAAAACUGGUACAGUAUUGUAUUAUUUGUCUCAUCUGUUGCACUGUAUUUCAAUCUGUAAUUAAAAUGAUCAUAUGUUU
Pan troglodytes (chimpanzee) is the source of this 4616-nucleotide RNA transcript. It is a transcript of the gene named myotubularin related protein 1, with no coding region annotated. NCBI's taxonomy places the organism in Eukaryota, Metazoa, Chordata, Mammalia, Primates, Hominidae. The record is from RefSeq and is a predicted model, not a curated record. The transcript is spliced from 19 exons.